RNAcentral lists this small nuclear RNA (119 nucleotides) under Mus caroli (Ryukyu mouse). RNAcentral's name for it is "snRNA (MGP_CAROLIEiJ_G0035647.1)". The record is from RNAcentral. Lineage: Eukaryota; Metazoa; Chordata; Mammalia; Rodentia; Muridae.
AGCUUUGUCCAGUGGCAGUGUCAUAGCCUGUGAGAUUUAUCCAAAGCAUGAUUAUUGCUAAUAGCUAGAGUUUAGGCGCAUAUCAAGACAUCCAUACGUUUGGGAAUGAUUAUAAUAUC